RNAcentral lists this ribosomal RNA (253 nucleotides) under uncultured bacterium. RNAcentral's name for it is "partial 16S ribosomal RNA". It matches the Rfam family "Bacterial small subunit ribosomal RNA", at positions 524 to 776 of the family's 1533-position model. The record is from RNAcentral.
UACGUAGGGCGCAAGCGUUGUCCGGAAUUAUUGGGCGUAAAGAGCUCGUAGGCGGUUUGUCGCGUCUGCUGUGAAAUCCCGAGGCUCAACCUCGGGCUUGCAGUGGGUACGGGCAGACUAGAGUGCGGUAGGGGAGACUGGAAUUCCUGGUGUAGCGGUGGAAUGCGCAGAUAUCAGGAAGAACACCGGUGGCGAAGGCGGCUCUCUGGGCCUUACCUGACGCUGAGGAGCGAAAGCGUGGGUAGCGAACAGG